UACAGAGACUGCGAGCGUUAUUCGGAUUCACUGGGCGUAAAGGGUGCGCAGGCGGCCAAGUGUGUUAGGCGUGAAAGCCUGGGGCUUAACCUCAGAAUUGCACCUAAAACUACAUGGCUAGAGCAUUGGAGAGGGUAGCGGAAUUCACGGUGUAGCAGUGAAAUGCGUAGAUAUCGUGAGGAACACCAGAGGCGAAGGCGGCUACCUGGACAAUUGCUGACGCUCAGGCACGAAAGCGUGGGGAGCGAACAGG
Molecule: ribosomal RNA, 253 nt
Filed under: uncultured bacterium
Lineage: Bacteria
Description: partial 16S ribosomal RNA
Rfam family: Bacterial small subunit ribosomal RNA
Source: RNAcentral